RNAcentral lists this ribosomal RNA (253 nucleotides) under Faecalibacterium prausnitzii. RNAcentral's name for it is "partial 16S ribosomal RNA". It matches the Rfam family "Bacterial small subunit ribosomal RNA", at positions 524 to 776 of the family's 1533-position model. The record is from RNAcentral. Lineage: Bacteria; Bacillati; Bacillota; Clostridia; Eubacteriales; Oscillospiraceae.
AACGUAGGUCACAAGCGUUGUCCGGAAUUACUGGGUGUAAAGGGAGCGCAGGCGGGAAGACAAGUUGGAAGUGAAAUCCAUGGGCUCAACCCAUGAACUGCUUUCAAAACUGUUUUUCUUGAGUAGUGCAGAGGUAGGCGGAAUUCCCGGUGUAGCGGUGGAAUGCGUAGAUAUCGGGAGGAACACCAGUGGCGAAGGCGGCCUACUGGGAACCAACUGACGCUGAGGCUCGAAAGUGUGGGUAGCAAACAGG